UACGGAGGGAGCUAGCGUUGUUCGGAAUUACUGGGCGUAAAGCGCACGUAGGCGGCUUUGCAAGUUAGAGGUGAAAGCCCGGGGCUCAACUCCGGAACUGCCUUUAAGACUGCAUCGCUUGAAUCCAGGAGAGGUGAGUGGAAUUCCGAGUGUAGAGGUGAAAUUCGUAGAUAUUCGGAAGAACACCAGUGGCGAAGGCGGCUCACUGGACUGGUAUUGACGCUGAGGUGCGAAAGCGUGGGGAGCAAACAGG
RNAcentral lists this ribosomal RNA (253 nucleotides) under uncultured bacterium. RNAcentral's name for it is "partial 16S ribosomal RNA". It matches the Rfam family "Bacterial small subunit ribosomal RNA", at positions 524 to 776 of the family's 1533-position model. The record is from RNAcentral.